UACGUAGGGCGCAAGCGUUAUCCGGAAUUAUUGGGCGUAAAGAGCUCGUAGGCGGUUUGUCGCGUCUGCCGUGAAAGUCCGGGGCUCAACUCCGGAUCUGCGGUGGGUACGGGCAGACUAGAGUGAUGUAGGGGAGACUGGAAUUCCUGGUGUAGCGGUGAAAUGCGCAGAUAUCAGGAGGAACACCGAUGGCGAAGGCAGGUCUCUGGGCCGAUACUGACGCUGAGGAGCGAAAGCGUGGGAGCGAACAGG
Molecule: ribosomal RNA, 252 nt
Filed under: uncultured bacterium
Lineage: Bacteria
Description: partial 16S ribosomal RNA
Rfam family: Bacterial small subunit ribosomal RNA
Source: RNAcentral